Molecule: ribosomal RNA, 425 nt
Filed under: uncultured bacterium
Lineage: Bacteria
Description: bacterial SSU rRNA
Rfam family: Bacterial small subunit ribosomal RNA
Source: RNAcentral
GUGGGGAAUAUUGGACAAUGGGCGAAAGCCUGAUCCAGCAAUUCCGCGUGGGUGAAGAAGGUCUUCGGAUUGUAAAGCCCUUUCGUUGGGGACGAUGAUGACGGUACCCAAAGAAGAAGCCCCGGCUAACUUCGUGCCAGCAGCCGCGGUAAUACGAAGGGGGCUAGCGUUGCUCGGAAUGACUGGGCGUAAAGGGCGCGUAGGCGGCGCGAUCAGUCAGGCGUGAAAUUCCCGGGCUUAACCUGGGGGCUGCGCUUGAGACGGUUGUGCUAGAGGAUGGAAGAGGCUCGUGGAAUUCCCAGUGUAGAGGUGAAAUUCGUAGAUAUUGGGAAGAACACCGGUGGCGAAGGCGGCGAGCUGGUCCAUUUCUGACGCUGAGGCGCGAAAGCGUGGGGAGCAAACAGGAUUAGAAACCCGGGUAGUCC